RNAcentral lists this ribosomal RNA (392 nucleotides) under uncultured bacterium. Its description in RNAcentral is "partial 16S ribosomal RNA". It matches the Rfam family "Bacterial small subunit ribosomal RNA", at positions 523 to 917 of the family's 1533-position model. The record is from RNAcentral.
AUACGGAGGAUCCGAGCGUUAUCCGGAUUUAUUGGGUUUAAAGGGUGCGCAGGCGGGAGAUUAAGUCGGCGGUGAAAUUUUGCAGCUCAACUGUAAAAGUGCCUUCGAAACUGGUUUCCUUGAGUGUAGAUGAAGUAGGCGGAAUUUGUGGUGUAGCGGUGAAAUGCAUAGAUAUCACGAGGAACUCCGAUUGCGCAGGCAGCUUACUAAACUACUACUGACGCUCAGGCACGAAGGCGUGGGGAUCAAACAGGAUUAGAUACCCUGGUAGUCCACGCAGUAAACGAUGAUUACUAGCUGUUUGCGAUACAAUGUAAGCGGCUGAGCGAAAGCGUUAAGUAAUCCACCUGGGGAGUACGUUCGCAAGAAUGAAACUCAAAGGAAUUGACGGG